This 940-nucleotide ribosomal RNA is filed under the name human gut metagenome. RNAcentral's name for it is "bacterial SSU rRNA". It matches the Rfam family "Bacterial small subunit ribosomal RNA", at positions 8 to 935 of the family's 1533-position model. The record is from RNAcentral.
AGAGUUUGAUCCUGGCUCAGGAUGAACGCUGGCGGCAUGCCUAAUACAUGCAAGUCGAACGAGAGGAAGGAGAGCUUGCUUUCCUGAAUCUAGUGGCGAACGGGUGAGUAACACGUAGGUAACCUGCCCAUGUGCCCGGGAUAACUUCUGGAAACGGAUGCUAAAACCGGAUAGGUAGCAGACAAGCAUUUGACUGCUAUUAAAGUGGCUAAGGCCAUGAACAUGGAUGGACCUGCGGUGCAUUAGCUAGUUGGUGAGGUAACGGCCCACCAAGGCGACGAUGCAUAGCCGGCCUGAGAGGGCGGACGGCCACAUUGGGACUGAGACACGGCCCAAACUCCUACGGGAGGCAGCAGUAGGGAAUUUUCGUCAAUGGGGGGAACCCUGAACGAGCAAUGCCGCGUGAGUGAGGAAGGUCUUCGGAUCGUAAAGCUCUGUUGUAAGAGAAAAACGACAUUCAUAGGGAAUGAUGAGUGAGUGAUGGUAUCUUACCAGAAAGUCACGGCUAACUACGUGCCAGCAGCCGCGGUAAUACGUAGGUGGCGAGCGUUAUCCGGAAUGAUUGGGCGUAAAGGGUGCGUAGGUGGCAGAUCAAGUCUGGAGUAAAAGGUAUGGGCUCAACCCGUACUGGCUCUGGAAACUGAUCAGCUAGAGAACAGAAGAGGACGGCGGAACUCCAUGUGUAGCGGUAAAAUGCGUAGAUAUAUGGAAGAACACCGGUGGCGAAGGCGGCCGUCUGGUCUGGAUUCUGACACUGAAGCACGAAAGCGUGGGGAGCAAAUAGGAUUAGAUACCCUAGUAGUCCACGCCGUAAACGAUGAGAACUAGGUGUUGGGGGAAUAACUCAGUGCCGCAGUUAACGCAGUAAGUUCUCCGCCUGGGGAGUAUGCACGCAAGUGUGAAACUCAAAGGAAUUGACGGGGGCCCGCACAAGCGGUGG